This 301-nucleotide ribosomal RNA is filed under the name uncultured bacterium. RNAcentral's name for it is "partial 16S ribosomal RNA". It matches the Rfam family "Bacterial small subunit ribosomal RNA", at positions 509 to 807 of the family's 1533-position model. The record is from RNAcentral.
CAGUCGCCGCGGUAAUACGUAGGGUGCGAGCGUUAAUCGGAAUUACUGGGCGUAAAGGGCGCGUAGGUGGUUAUUUAAGUGAGAUGUGAAAGCCCCGGGCUUAACCUGGGAACUGCAUCUUAUACUGGGUAACUGGAGUGCAGUAGAGGGUAGUGGAAUUUCCGGUGUAGCGGUGAAAUGCGUAGAUAUCGGAAGGAACACCAGUGGCGAAGGCGGCUACCUGGACUGAGACUGACACUGAGGCGCGAGAGCGUGGGGAGCAAACAGGAUUAGAUACCCCUGUAGUCCCUGUCUCUUAUAC